AUUAAAUUUCUUAAGGACACAGUAGUUUCUGUGGACUCGGAUUAAUUCUUGUAUUCUAUAUUCUGCUUCAUCUUAUUUCUGUUUCUGUUUCUGUUUAUUAACUUUAUAAAUACAAGUUAUUUUAAGAAUAACAGGAAGCGAGUGAAAAUCUUUGGAAGACAAGCUUGGGAAUCGACUCUCUCAAGACUAAGUAUGUCCUUAUAUAUUCGAGGGCAUAGCAUAUGUUUUCUUUAGUUCUUCUUUGAGAUUUGUAAAGACUUUUAAGUAUUUCUUUUAAUGUAAAAGGUCGUGCCCCUAUGAUAUUAUGUCAUGUCUUUAAGUUGGCUUGUGAGGAUGAGACUUAAUCCUUAGUUUUUACAAAAGAUGUUUCUUAUUAUCAUUGUCGUAAAAAGUUUUAAUUCCACACUAUUUUUCAUGUCUUAUGUAAUGAAGGACAACUAAGAGGCUUGUGUAAGACCUCCGUGAGGUCGAGCGCACAGUGUUCCGACCUAAAAGUCUCCCUUACUUCUAGGGUGUACUUGCGGAUUGUAACAAUGCUUUGGUUGUUUAUGAUUUGUUUCAAAUUUAUCAUCUCAUAGAACAAAGUUUGAUCCAAGAGCUUUGCCUUGUGUGUUUUUGGGGUAUCCUUAUGGGAAAAAGGGGUACAAAGUCAUGAACCUUAAAAAAAAGAAAAACUUUUGUUUCAAGAGAUAUCAUUUUUUAUGAGGAAUAUUUUCCUUAUUUAUCUGAUAUGUCUCAUAUUUCUCACAAAUUAUUUCCAGUUCCCACCUCAGAUUGUUUCUUACUUUUCUUUAUUCAAUCCUGAACCUAAAUCUGUAAUUUCAAGUGUUCCUGAUACAAUGCCUCCUGUUUCUAGUAAUACUCCUACUCCUUUUUCCUCGUACGAUUGCAAUCCCAAUCACUCUCCAAGAAGUCCUUCUCCUGUUUCUCCAUAUCAUAGUCUGAUUAUUGAUACUUUUAUCAGGGAGUCUUCUAUGAAUACCAAGACUCCUUCCUAUCUGAAAGAUUAUGUUUGCAAUGCUUUACAACUCACAAUUUCAGUUCCUUUUGUUUCCUUAGUCCUGUCUUUUUCUUUCACAAACGUAUCCCCCACUGAUCAGGUAUGCUCAACUAUGUCUCUAAUAUUCAUGAACCUGUUAGCUAUGAAUAGGCAAUGCUUGAUCCUUCUUGGAAAGACGCCACGAGACAAGAAUUAGCUGCUUUUGAGUUAAACAAGACAUGGGUAUUGUUCUUCUACCUCAUGGAAAGAAGUAUUUGCCUUGUAAAUGGGUUAAUAAAGUGAAACAACAUUCAGAUGGGAGUAUUGAGCGAUUUAAGGUGAGGUUAGUCAUUAGAGGAGAUAUACAGAAGGAAAGAGUGGACUACAAUGAGACUUUUUCAACAGUGUUGAAAAUGACCACUGUUUGAUGUACUUUGGCCAUUGCAGUAAAGAGAGGAUGGGGUUUAUUUCAUUUAGAAGUGAAUAACACAUUUCUACAUAGGGAUCUCAAUGAGCAAGUUUACAUGAAAUCUCCUAUUGGUGUUUCUCCUCCUUCUCCUAAUCAUGUUUGUUUAUUGAAGAAGUCCAUUUAUGGACUUAAACAGGCAUCUCGACAAUGGUACUCUAAACUCACUGCAGCCCUCAAUUUUAAAGCUUGCAGAUCUGUUUACUGAAUCUCUCACUGGACCUACUCGUCAUUCUCUCCUUCACAAGUUGGGCGUCUCCUCCCCUCCAACUUGAGGGGUGUGUGUGUGUUGGAUUUCAUACACAAUCUUCUGAUGGCUACUAAUUAAAGAGACAAGAUAAGACAAAGGAAAGAACACAUAAAUGAGAGUUGCCAUAUUUGAAAGAAAUGUUCUUAGGGUAUCUGCAGUUAGGCCUCAGAUGUGUUUUGGGUUUAUCUGAACGUAUGGGCUUUGGAAUAAUAAGCCUCAUUCUAGAAACUUAAUUGUCACUUAUUUUCUGUAUUUAUUUAUCUCUUAGUUUGUUAUAGGUAAAACAAUGAGACAUAGCCACUUGUAAAGUUAGUUAGCAAUAUGCUUGUAUGAAUAUAGUGUAAUUGUACAGAGUUGAUCAUCAAUAAAACUUCAAGGAAUUUUCUAUA
Molecule: long non-coding RNA, 2084 nt
Organism: Solanum lycopersicum (tomato)
Lineage: Eukaryota; Viridiplantae; Streptophyta; Magnoliopsida; Solanales; Solanaceae
Source: RefSeq, a predicted model, not a curated record